UGAGGUAGCUUGCCGGGAAGGUUCAACUUUGCAGAUGGCGAGUUUUUACCUUAGCCUUUCGCCGCAUGGUGAAUCCGCGCUGUUCCACAUUGCUUGUGCGGAAAUAUGGCCUCAUUUCUCCCUAUUAGGGUAGUGGGUAAGACAUUCUAGUAAUAUGAACCUAUUGGGGCAUUAGUGUUCUUGCAACUACCCCACCAUACCCUCUUGGAGUACUCAAAUUUGGAACGAGAGGCGCGAACCUCAAUAAGGAGUUUUACUUCGUGGGAAAUUUAAUCUAACAUGUUGCAUUUCAACUGGGGAGGUCGGAAACCGAAAGCCUCCUCCCUGUAGACGGAGGAGAGCCGUCCCCUGAGGAGAAAUGGUCUGGCAAGAGGCAGUCUAUUGGGAAGCCUAAAAACAGUUUAUGAAGUCCCUGCGCGGACGCUAUGGGUGCAUCAUGCAGUUCCUCUUGAGGCAUAAUAAUAGCAGCUACUCUUUAGGGGGCUCUCACUAUUGUCAGUGAUCUCCCGCCAAAGACCACCGAGAACGCCCCUAUAGUUGAACAAAGUUGGGCUUACUGUCUCCUUGCAAAGAGAGGAGGCACGGCCUGGGGAACAGCAGGCAUCUCGUGAAGAGGGUGCUGGAAAGAAUUUACAGGAUUUGGGUUUGUGUGAGGGAAUUUGGAGAAGGGUUCGUUGAAGGAGGCCUCUCUGGAUUGAAUGCUAUUAGAUACAGAAGGCAAGUUAUGAAGUUGGCAAAAAAUAGUGAGAAAUCCAGAAACAGACUACUGGAAUCUUCACUUUGGGCCAUUGUUGAUGCUCAGCAUCACUCCAGAUCUCCAGCUGCCUAAUAAACCAGGACUCCUGAGGCAAAUCACUUAUUCCAGAGCUGGGACACAGGAGGUACAAGAUGAACCUGGAACAUCAUUUAUGCUAUAAAGUAAGGAAUUACUAAAAAUAAGAAUGGGCACAUGUCUUGAAGGCAAAGGAGCCAACCUGAAGAAAUUUCUACUGACUCUAUCUGGAUAUUUUAGCACCAGAAUAAUUAAGGAAUGUAAUAAAUUAUAAACCAUUAAAUAGAAAAAUAUGAAUCCCAAAUUAUAAAUAAAUAAAUAAAUAAA
Molecule: long non-coding RNA, 1099 nt
Organism: Pteropus alecto (black flying fox)
Lineage: Eukaryota; Metazoa; Chordata; Mammalia; Chiroptera; Pteropodidae
Exons: 3
Source: RefSeq, a predicted model, not a curated record